GGGGCUGAUUCUGGAUUCGACGGGAUUUGCGAAACCCAAGGUGCAUGCCGAGGGGCGGUUGGCCUCGUAAAAAGCCGCAAAAAAUAGUCGCAAACGACGAAAACUACGCUUUAGCAGCUUAAUAACCUGCUUAGAGCCCUCUCUCCCUAGCCUCCGCUCUUAGGACGGGGAUCAAGAGAGGUCAAACCCAAAAGAGAUCGCGUGGAAGCCCUGCCUGGGGUUGAAGCGUUAAAACUUAAUCAGGCUAGUUUGUUAGUGGCGUGUCCGUCCGCAGCUGGCAAGCGAAUGUAAAGACUGACU
RNAcentral lists this transfer-messenger RNA (300 nucleotides) under Escherichia coli. RNAcentral describes it as "partial transfer-messenger RNA". It matches the Rfam family "transfer-messenger RNA", at positions 1 to 309 of the family's 374-position model. Rfam says of the family: Bacterial tmRNA, also known as 10Sa RNA or SsrA, is named for its dual tRNA and mRNA-like properties. Its role is to liberate the mRNA from a stalled ribosome. Lineage: Bacteria; Pseudomonadati; Pseudomonadota; Gammaproteobacteria; Enterobacterales; Enterobacteriaceae. The record is from RNAcentral.